Molecule: non-coding RNA, 3657 nt
Organism: Macaca mulatta (Rhesus monkey)
Lineage: Eukaryota; Metazoa; Chordata; Mammalia; Primates; Cercopithecidae
Source: RefSeq, a predicted model, not a curated record
AGUCUUUUCUGUGGUUAACGUCGUGACGGUAAUAACGAGAAUGCUGAUACUAAUAACGACAGCCUUUUUAUGUCGGAAAAUGCAUAAAAAUAAAGAUAAACAAGGAAUGGAGAAUGAAAACAUGGCACUGUCCCCACCGUGCUAUUAUCUUGAAUGUGAUUUACUUCAGCUCUUCCAAACAGACAACUGUCUGAACAAUACAAGGAUGCGGCCAGCACCCAAACAGACCACACUCCUCCGAAGUAGGAGGGCAAUCAUCACUCACCAGUGACUCCUAAUGUCGAAAAUGUAUGCGAUUCGGACCAUGGCACCCGAUCUAGGUAAACUGAACAGCACCGCGAACUCACAGCAUAGUGAACAAUCCGCUCGGCAGUCGGAGACAAGCACAUUUGCAAUUUUUCUGAGAUUUGUCAGAAUUGGAAUGACUCCAUCCACGGAAGGUAAUGGAUGUGAAAAUGGGAAAUAGAGCCAUGAGAACGGAAGGCCGCCUUCUUUCCUCUGUUCCCGUGCCUGUGGGGUUUACGCUGUAAUUCAGGAAGAUGUGCCAAGGAAAGGCGCUGCUCUCACCAGCCUGGGUCCAGGGCUCUGGGCCACCAUUGACAUGUCGGUGCACACCAACGGCGUCCCUGGGGAGCUUACCUGGCACUGCCAGAGCAGAGCAGCUCUGCUGCAAAUCCAUGCUAACUCGGAAAGCUCUUGAUGACCCAGAGCAGUUGGCUCUGCUGUCCUCUACCUUGCACUGUCCAGAGGACUUGGAAUGGCAAGCUACUUGGGAAGUCAAACAAUCAGAAGGAUGCUUGGGGAACAGGCAGUCAGAACAGGAGCAUGGAGUUUGAUGAUUCCAACGUCCAGCCACACGGUAAGAUACACCUGUCAGGCAGGGCAGGCGCUGGGCUCGGGAGCAGAGAACCUGCUCCCAGGGUUGGUACUUAGGUGGGCUUUGCAGCAGUUUUCCCACAUAACUGUCCUUUCUGGCGUUUCCAUUUUAGGCCUGCAUCUUAUCAUGCUAAAGGGCCUUCCCCUCGCCCUGAGAUGUGUUUGACUAGCCUGCUUUUAAUUCAUGCUGGAUGUGAAGGCGGUCCAUCUCAUUGAUGGAGUUUUGUUUUGUUUAGCUCUGAUCAUGCUGUGUUGAUUGUGUAGCUUAAUUCUCAGAGACAAAACCGAUUUCCAGGUUCUUAAAGAGCACUCCUGCAUGGCCUCCAGGGUGCCACGCCACCCCCUGCAGCUGCACGAGCUCCUUCUCAUUCUUUAUUCCUUUAUGUGCUCCCUGUGAUUAACCUGGCUGCUACUCCUGUGUCCAUGGCUUGGGUCUGCCUCAGCCACCUCCAGCCCCCAACAUCCCCACAUCUUUCUCAUCAGAGGGUAGUGGCACCUUUUGCUGCUCAUGGUCCAGCAUUGUCACAAGGAUCAGAUGGCAAACAAAGCACAGCGCUGUGAAGUCUGUGCAGAGAGAAGGGAUUCUAAUUUCUUUUCUUAAAAAAAAAAAUGGCUGUUGGGCUUGAUUUUCUUCAUUUCAGAUUGUCUGGUGGGACCCAAGAGAAAGGUGGAAAAUCACUUUAAAACAACUUCGACUGCAAACCCGUUUCCAUGAAGUUCCUCUAGACUUUUGUUAUGUUAGUAAAUCUCCCCACAUAAUCUCAUUUGGCAUAAUCUCAUCUUUCACUUUGGUACAAGUGCUUUAAGAUUUGAUCACAGAUCUCUUUUUCACAGAUAUCCUAUUCACUAGCACCCUAAUGUACACAAAUGCUAUUUGGUUAAGAGAUACUAGCCACAAAAUAAAAAAUAUAUCUAAGAAUUAUCUGAUAUGACUUUGCAAAUGCCUAUCAACCAGCAAAGCGUUGCAAUCAACCAGCAAUACACAGUUGUUUAGUAAUGCAGAUCAUUGCCAGCUUCACUCUUGUUAAUUCGUGGCUCAGGUCCUUAGACUUUGACUUCAUCUCCUGUUUUGGGAAGCUUUGCUGAACUUUAAUCCGGGCUCUGUAUCCACCAGUGCAUUGCCUUGAAGCCUGUUUUGGUUUACCCAGCCCUCAAUGGGCGUCCACCUGCUUACCGCUCCUCUGAAUACCAGCCUUCACAGAAACUGCACCAGGAGAUAAUUAGUCACGCUAACAACCUCGGAAAGCACUGACGAGGCUGUUCAGACCCCUCAUUGGAAACCGGAACAGGAGCUGUUGCUCUAUAAUUAGUGUAUCACGCAUAACUCCAAGCUGCUCACCUUCUGAUACCUGGCUGCCCUCACCUUGUCUGCAUCCCAACGCACAAUGGAAGUGAGCGCCUGGCCUGCCAUGGGUGUACAGGGUGUGUGGUGCAAUAUUUUGUGAGCAUCAUGUACCUGCAACUCUCAUUAAUUAAAAAGACAGCUGGUACCCUAAAAAAAAGAGGCACAGUUCAUUUAAUGACAGGUAUUUUAAAUGUGUAUGCUAAUUUCAGGUUUUUCCUUUCAUCCUUCGGAAACACAGACGUGGAAGGAGGCUGCUGGAAGGAAGUGUGUGAGAUGAGCUUAUUUGUGAGUGAGCAGGAGGGAAGGGGUGGUGAACUUUCCUCCCAGGACGAGACGUGUACCUGCACUUCUCAGCCAUGAGUGUCGGGAACCAGUCCUGGAGAAGCAUGACAAAUCGCUUCCCUGUGAAGGCUCACAAUCUUGGGAUAACUGCAUAGCAGGAAAUAAACAAGACUUGGCUCUAUAUUUGAAGCUGCAGUACAAACAGAACCUAAAAGACAGACAGAAAGAAAAGGAUACACAGACAUGUAUGCAUGACAUGGGGGAGGGGAGAAGACACUGUCAGAAAGAAUACCCAGAAAAAUAGUGCAGGAAUGCUCACAAACCCAAAUUAGCUGCAGCUUCAAUGCAGUUAACUAUUGUUUCCCUUUGGAAAGAAUUUUAUUAUUCUGUUUUCCUCAUCUCUUCUGAAAGAACGAGCUUUGAGCAGCAUCUGCAAAUUGCUGGUAGGGAAAUCCUUGAUCUUUACCCCUAUUGAGAUUGUCAAAAGAUACCAAAAGCUGGAAUCUGUGCUUUAUAAAGUUAAUGUUUUCUGGAAAUUGCAGCAAUACAGAAAGCAGCCUUUGCUCUGCUUUCAACAGUGUUUGAGAGGAUUCUGAAACUCUCUGCAGGUGAGGAAGAAGCCACCAAACUGACCGUUUCAAAUCUGUAUUCUAAAUUAUUUCUGCUGUUGGUGUGAACCCUGGGACAGAACGGGUGUGUACUCAUUUGAACCUUAGCUCAAUGGACAGCUCUAGGUGUGUAAGUGGGUUGGUGGUGGCUGUGCAGAGGAAGACACAUUUCAGAUUUGGUUUCUCCAAGGUUUCACGAGUUGUUGGUUGCAUUCCAUCUAAAUUAUAAUCCCCAAACGUGUUUAAUCGAGAGCUGCACAACAGUGCAAAGUGGUGGAUGUGAAUGUUGAAUAGAGCCCAACCUAUACAUUUUGGGGCCUUCCUAGGGCCUGGAUUUUAACUGAGCAUUAUCAGUGUGACUAAUUUCUCACUGUUAAUUAAAUGUUAUAAUGAGUCUUCAAUACUUUUAAAACCAGAAGAGAAGUAUUCUGUGACAAAACUAUAUAUAUGUUUAAAAAACAAAAGAAUUCCAUCUUUCUGUUGACACUUGCUCCACACCUUUGUGGGGCAUUUUCUAAAAGAGAAGAAAAUAACAACAAAACGUCU